AACAAUUAACAAUAGACAAAACCGUUACUUACCGAACACACGCAACCAACAAUGAACAACCAAAUCAAUUGGAAAAUAAAAAAAGAAAUGGAAGGGGGAAAAAUAAUGGAAAUUUCGACAACAACUAGGGGAAAGAAUCGGCAGAGGAGGGAAAAAAUAAGAAGAAAACGUCAGAAAAAGUUUGGGUAAUUGGAUAGAAAACCGAAACACUAAUUUUUUUCUAUAAAAAAAGAUAAUCAGAUUAUUU
RNAcentral lists this long non-coding RNA (247 nucleotides) under Gossypium barbadense (sea-island cotton). Its description in RNAcentral is "long non-coding RNA (GBAR_LNC015543)". The record is from RNAcentral. Lineage: Eukaryota; Viridiplantae; Streptophyta; Magnoliopsida; Malvales; Malvaceae.